AUAAGUCGAGAAAGAUCAAAAUU
This 23-nucleotide small RNA is filed under the name Arabidopsis thaliana (thale cress). Its description in RNAcentral is "ATSL205380". Lineage: Eukaryota; Viridiplantae; Streptophyta; Magnoliopsida; Brassicales; Brassicaceae. The record is from RNAcentral.